Molecule: long non-coding RNA, 670 nt
Filed under: Zalophus californianus (California sea lion)
Lineage: Eukaryota; Metazoa; Chordata; Mammalia; Carnivora; Otariidae
Description: lncRNA (ENSZCAG00015007140.1)
Source: RNAcentral
UCUCCCCCAAGUCCCCACCUCCUAAUACCAUCAUCUUUGCAGGUUAGGAUGUUAGGAUUUCAACAUAAGAAUUUCCGGGGGGCACAGAUAUCAAGACCAUAUUAGGAGCCAUAUCUUAUAUUUUCAUUUCUCCCUCUCCAACUAGCAGGCCUAGUUAUUGUUAGUAGACCUGAUCAUCAUAUCGGUGAAGGCAAUCAGAAGCAGGUGAGAAAGCUGAACUCUUAAAAUUUUACCAUGGUAUUCAGUGUGCUCAUGUGGAGGAAAAGUGUUACAGAAUAAAAACAGAUUUAAACCUUUGGACAUCUGAUAAUUUAAUAUGCAGUUUUCUGGUUCACCAAGAUGUGCUAAUUAUGAAGUCAUUCAAGUAUCAGUUCUUCACUGAAGACCCCAAAUUCCAGUACACAUAGUGAAAUUUGACCUGUCCUGGUGAUGUAAUAGGAAUGAAGAACUGGGAGAACACCGUGAGGAAAUUCUUAGCUGUCACUUCACUGUCUCUUUGUUGUCUUGCCGAAAAGUGCCAGACCUAGGGGGACUUAACAGAUUUUUUACUUAAAAUCUAAACAACACUCCUAUCUCAAUAAACACGAGAGGCCUGAAAUGGAAACCUCGGUCACUGCUUAUUCCACAGAAUUCUAGGACGGAAUUAGAAGAGAGAUUGAAGGUGUGCGUC